AAGGUAAACAAAGCGGCGAUGGCGGACCCGUGGCACAUCUCCAUGGAGAGCGUCAGAGCCCCGCCGUGACAGCUUUUCCCCGUGUUCUCCUCGUCCACUGAAUGCGUCCUAUGCAGCGCGGGGCGUUCCUCCAGGCCAGCUUUGCCCCGAACUCCAGCUCUUGGCGCGUGGGUCUGUAGGUGCCGCGCCCCUCCACGGCGGCCACCACCUCCUGCCAACGCGCUUCCUCCUCCACGCUGCCAGACCUGCAGGGGACCAAGUCACGGUGACGAGGACUUGGUAUGCUCCAAGGUGUGCUGUUCAUCAGUGGCAUAACAGGUGCUGCUUCCCCUCUCUUCAAGAUACUAACACCACAAGCACACGAGUGAUGGCAUGUAUCUUAACAGGCUUCAGUGUCAGGAUGCUCAACAUCACAGUAACCUCAAGAUGUUAUUGUAUCUUGACUGGAUCCCUAGCCCAGUAAGUAAGGAUGCUGCUGAUUGACUGUUGAUGGGCAGGGGGUCCAAUAUCUGUCUCCCAGCACAAUGACCUUUUUACAUUUCACCUGUGACCCCGGAAGGCUUUUUGGUGGGGCCUGGUGAUUGGGCCCAGUCCAUUAUGGCACAGGCAAAUGAUUUAUAGUGAUGCCAUCUUGCUUGGCUCAUGCUGCCUCCCAGAGCUCAUCUUUGAUCCUCUUUUCAAGAGAAUCAAGAGCCCUGAUUGACAGGUGGUCUUCAGGACAGCGUGUGGGAAGUCUCAGGCCACUUGGCGAUGACUUAAAAAUUCCCAGCCCAUUUGUUGCGGGAGGCGGGAUGUGAACCUGCUUCUUCUUGAACUCCAAGCCAGCAUACUGACCACUCAGCCACUGCUUCCCCAUAAAAUAUUCAUUCUAUUUCAUUACUUGGCUCAUUUGUUACAUGCAAUGGGUAAAUUUUGUUGACGUAAUUAGAUUAACCAGUGAUUAUAUACCUACAACAUGGUUUUCAAUAUAGGAUAUAAAAAUAAUUAUGGUAAGUAUAAGUCAGUGAAUAACAUAUAAUAUCACUUUUUACAAUUAAUAACUGUAAUAAGUAAAAAAUACUUAACCCUUUCCAUCCAUGACGCAGAUGUUGGCGUCACGGUAUGGAAAGGGUCAAAAGGAAAUGGAAGAGGAUUAAUCCUCUUCUAAACCUCUCAAUCCUCCUCUAAAUUCCUCUUAAUCCUCUUCCAUUUCCUCUUAAAGAGGUUUAGAAGAGGAUUAAGAAAGAAGUUUAGAAGAGGACUAACGGUGAUGCUGUCAGCCUCACCGGAGUGAAGGGAUUAAGAGCCUCUGGAGAAACACUAUCUGGUUUUGAAAGAAAAUUUAUAGUUUAUUGAAUGUAGCAUAAAAUUUCUACAAUAUUAAAGAUAAAGAUUUCUAUGAGAAAGACAACAGCAAAACAAUCUUUACAGAGUUAAGGAAAAUGCUUCCUUCUCCUCAACAGGCAGCUGGAUUGAACCUCGACUGUGUGUGCAAGACAUCCUGCACUUGACUGGAUGGAGAUGUGUUGGAUGGUUGUGACACUUGGCAGGGUCCACAGGGCACCACACUUGAAAGAAGCAAGAGUGACAUCUUAAUGAAAUAUACAGGUUCUAAAACUUUUCUUGUAAACUUAAAUAUCUUGAUGAUAAAUAUAGCAUAGUUGCAGUGCCUGUGUCUGAAGUGUACAUUAGUAAUGUGCUGUGGCAACCUGCUGGCACAUGGCUUGUCUGAUUUCGUGGAUAUUAUAUGAUAGCUUACACUUAGAAAUUGUUGUUAUCAAUAAUAUGCAGGCAGCACUUACGAGCUGAUUUUGAGUUUCAAAUCAUUAAUACUAUAACAGACUGCCGUUUUGUUAUAUCUUCUCCACAGAGAAUAGUGCCAUAAUAAUUAUUAUCAACAACUCUGUGUAAAGUAACAAAUCGGCUGUCUGCGAUAGUAUCAAUAAUUAUAUAAUUUAAACCUCAAAAUCAACAAUAAUUUACAGUAUAAAUCAUUGUUGCCUGCAUUUUAUUAAGUAACAACAAUUUCUAAGCACUGGCUAUUAUAUAUUAUCCUACGAAAUCAGACAGCAGAUUGCCAGAGCUUGAUAAUGCACAGCUUAUGCUCAGGCAUCACAACUAUAGUGGGGACACCAAUCUUAUUUGAUUUAAGAAGAUACUUCAAGCUUUUCCCUCGAGCCUCUAAGGUAUUUUUGACACUUGGUACAGUUUUUAAGACCUACUGAUACAUAUUUUUGACACCUGGUGCAGUUUUCAAGACCUAUUGAUACAUAUUUUUGACACUUGGUACAGUUUUUAAGACCUACUGAUACAUAUUUUUGACACUUGGUACAGUUUUUAAGACCUACUGAUACAUAUUUUUGACACUUGGUAGUUUUCUAGACCUGUUGAUACAUAUUUUUGACACUUGGUACAGUUUUCAAGACCUAUUGAUACACGUUUUUGCAGUUUUUUCUACCCAUCUUGUACAAUUUCAACAUUAAUCAUACCAAACAGUGUAGAAACUAAGGUAGAAUAUUGCAAUGGGGUCCCUCACUGAGCUCGACCUGCCAUUUGGUGGCCCUCUUGGAACCUCUGCCAGAUCCAAAUCUGCAGACUUCUGGAGUGCAGCAAAGAUUAAGUGGCAUUUUUCUGCAACAAACUAGUAAUGUAUCAGAGUUGUAAUGACCACUAUUAUGUUUACACCAAAAUAUAUUGGUGCUGUACAUAAUUCAUGCCAUUUUAAUGAACAUUGUUGGCAAAAUAAGAGCAUUCAACGAUAUAUCCUGCAACGCUCCAUCCAGUGAAUCAUAGGAAUGCAUCAGUGCAGACUUAUGGGUAAACAUUUCCUUCAUGCAAGAUAAGCAAACAAGUCAAACAAUAGUGUCAGCGGAGGAAGGUGUUGAAAAUUUUGCCACUCAACAUUUCCUCCAGGUAAUACACCCCUGACUCACCUACUAUGCAUUCCUCUCUCUCUACAAUCAGGGAGCACUGGAGGUUGUUUACUCUGCUGCAAAACAUAUCGUAUGCUCCCGGCAGCAAGUGUUGACUUAUUUUAUAUUUCAAAUUUAAAUCAUAAUUCAUACAUCUUUAGCAUCUUAUAAUAUUACAUUCACUAUACUGAAGUUUAAAAGAACAACAUAUAACACGUGACAAUUGUUCUUGUGGGAAAAAAAUAUAUAUUUUAAUUUCCUUUUUCUUGCGUAUCCCCAUUUCUUAACCCUUAGAGCACGGGUGGCGAUACAUUUCUCUGGAUGGUGUGCACGAGGAAAAUUUAGAAAUUUAAAAGAGGUGGAAAUGGUGUCUUUCUUCUUUGCAAUAAUUGUAUAUUCAUAUACUAUAUAUGGUGGUGUAAUAAAACUUCUCUCCUAAUAAUAAUAAAGAAGUUACAACAGCCAAAAAUAUUGCGCAUUUUCUCGUGGCCGUGACGCGUCGCGUGGAAGCACCCCACUUGCUCACUCGCUCUCUCUCUCUCUCUCUCUCUACCUACUUGCCCCUCCCUCCUCUGUCAAUGUCACUACUAUAGCAGUCAUCAGAGUCACUGUCACUUUGAUUCGCCCGCGCUCUACUUCCGCCCAGAGCAGAGGAACUGCUUGACUCGUCACAAGACAUGGCAGAUGUAUUCCGAACAAAAUCGGAGAAUGAUCUGUGGCCUUCGGUAGGCUGCGCGCUGGAGACGUAUGAGAGUGUAUACGGAUGCCAGAUGCCUCCACCAUUCUUCCGAGUCAAGAACUGGCGGUAUAUUUGAAAUGUAGGGAGCAUAGAGUGUGAUGAUUAUAUAUAUGAUCCCCGUACGGGUGGGGCAUGUGGUAGCACACUUAUAUAUACGAUCGCCGUAAUCUAAGGGUCAAAUACUACUAUCAAGUCAAUUGUCUCUAUACCGUAGCUAUGAGAAAAAUGUGAUUUCUAAAGGCUAGCGAAAAACUUGUAAGGAAAAUUAUUUGACAAAGUCCACAUUCAUAAUUUUUGUUGCAGUACCAAGACAUCCACCAGAUGGCAGGUCGAGCUUAGUGAAGGACCUCAUUUAAGUACAGUACCCUCUCGAGUUUCGCGCUCGCUUCGUUCCGAAGGUAUAGCGCUAAACUCGAGGUAUUGAAAACACUGAAAAGCGCUUAUCUAUUCCGACCCGUGGAGAGUUAGACUAUCCAUCUGGGCCUGAUGAUCAGCCCUGAGCUCGUCAUGGCGCAGGCAACUGUUUAUAGUGGCGCCAUUUUAAUUGGCUCAUGCUGCCUCCCCGGAGCUCACUUUUUUUCCUUCUAUACUCCCUUGUUAUCUCAAAAUACGUACUUUGGAAAUAGGAAGAAAACAGGAAGAGAUAACGGGUCGUUUUAAAGCCACAGAUGAAGCCUCACAAUUGGCUGAGCUUUGAAAACACGCUUGUGAUUCCCUGGGAGUCCGAUGACGUCAGCGGCCUCGCUGCCUUAAGGCAGUGUCACGCUGGCCAUUUUCCUCUAACCGUUGUGGCUAUUGGCAACACCCAUGCGCCCAUCCAGGAGCGAGUUGUCGGUUGUCUGUAACUUGAUGUCAUGCUGGGCCCUUUUUUUCCCACCACGUUGGCGGCAGCUUGGGCCACCGCCAAAUCCAACUUUUCCAAGUGUGCGUCACACACGGCCAAGGUCGAUUGCCUGUAUCCACAUCCACAAUGUAAACAAAGCACUUGCCCUGUAUCGACAUGGCGUCGUCUGCUAAACUAAGGGCUCUCGCAGCUUGUGCUGUCAUUACCCAAGUUAUGGACUUGUUGCUGCAGUUAAAUGGAAGGAAGAAGCUGUUGUGGCUGUGGCAUGUCUGUGGUUCUUCCGUGCCAGUUCUUAUUGUCACCACUGCGCGUGAGCGGCCAACCCACCCAUCUAGACUCCGACCACAUAAACACGUGGAUCAAGUAACAACACACACACACACACACACACCAGACUCAUCAUGAACCAUGGCAGAUGUUUCUCACAAACAAAAAUGGCUUUGCCAUUUCCUAGAGUGUGUUAGAACUUAUUUGGUGAGUGGUUCAUACAAACCAAACAUACCCAAUGGAAAGAAGAGAGCAAUGUUAAAGACGACUGUUCUCUUCUUGCCAAGAGCCAGGUUUGGUUCAUGUGAGCCACUCACCAAAUACGUUCUAACACACUCAAGUGAUGGUGAAGUCGUUUCUGUUUGUCAGAAACAUCUGCAAUGGUUCCUAAUGAGUCUGGUGUGUGUGUGUGUGUGUGUGUGUGUGUUAUUCGAUCCAUGUGUUUAUGUGAUUGAGUCAAGAUAGGUGGGUUAGCCACGCACGCACAGUGGUGACAAUGAGAACUGGCAUGGAGGAAACACAGGCAUGCCACAUCCACAACCGUUUCUUUCUUCCUUUUAACUGCAGCAACAAGUCCAUAACUUGGGUAAUGGCAGCACAAGCCGCGACAGCCCUUACUUUGGUAGACGACACCAAGUUGAUAGGCUACAGGGCAAGUGCUUUGUUUAUGUUGUGGAUGUGGAUACGGGCAACUGACCUUGGCCAUGUGUGACGCACACCCGGAAAAGUUGGAGUUGCCAGUUGCCCUAGCUGGCGCCAACUCGGUGGGAAGAAAAAAGCCCUGUGUGACACCAGCUUACGGAUACGAGAACUCGCUCCCGGUUGGGCGUACGGGCAUCGCCCGUAGCCUCAACGGUUGGACGAAAAUGGCCAUUGUGACACCACCUCAAGGCAGUGAAGCCACUGAUAGGGUGAGCAUCGGCGAUGACGUCAUCGGACUCCCAGCGAAUCACAAGUGUUUUCAGAACUGUCAGCCAAUCGUAAGGCAGCCGCCUUCAACUGCAGCUUCAAAACGACCCAUUCUCUCUUCCCAUUUUCUCUCUCUCUUGCCAUAGCCACAAUGUUUGGAGGAAAACAUCCAGUAUGAUACUACCUUUAAAGGUAGCGUGCGUGACGCCGAUGGUAAGUAGGCGUGACCAGUACGUGUCAAAGCACCGCGAAACUCGGGGUGAUGAUGCGCAAAAGUCGGGAUGGUAAGAAUUUAGGACUAACCGCGAAACUCGAGAGGGUACUGUAGAAUAUUACAAUUACUGAAGUUCCUCCACCAUUUUUCAUAAUUCUUAACUUAAGCAUUUCAAUCGCUGACUAUUGUAAUUUAAUGAUAUUUAACUGGUCUAACCUUUAGUUACUGAAUGAAAUUACUAGCAUUACUACAUUCUAGAACAGGGUAAAACAUUACAUCAAACUUAUAACCAAUGGGGAGCACAAGCCAGGAGACGCAUCACUUCACUUACCCGCUCCCUUCACCCCCAAGUCCCUCUAAGCGAACAUCUACACAGUCUGUCACUUUUGGCAGGAUCAGUCAACUUACCCCAACCAUGAGUUAGGUGGGCAUCUCCUUGGUCUCCACUCAGGGUUGUCUCAUACAGAAACAACCCUGUAAGCAGGACCAUGUUCAGGAAGUGUGCCAUAUAGCCCAUAUAUUAUACAUGCCCAUAUAGCCGAAGUCAGUGUUCAUGGAAUAAGUCAAUUGCAGGCCUUGAUUCAGUUUCAUAAAGUAGGUGUUGGUUCGGGACAAAGGCAUUCCAACGAUACCCCAUGAUCCUGUUAAGGUACUUUAAUGAAGAGAUUUUCUAUUCUCUUUUUCUAUUACUCUCUCGGUCCCACACAUCCUCUGCGUGUAUCGAAACACACAAGAAAUUAAUCACAAGGAGAUCCCGGCUGCCCGGGAUCAAACCCGCGACCAGCGUGACGGGAGAGCCACUCCUUACUGAGUCGGCCAAAGAGGUACCCCAUUCACCGAAUGGGUUAUGGGAGGCUCGCUCAUCAGGCCGUCGCCUCACUACAGUACUAAAUACCAAAGACAUCAACACACCUCUUCAAGUCACUAUUCAGUGUCCAUGUCUCAUAGCGCUACAGUAAGACAGGGAGCACAAGUAAAAAAUUAUAAUCUUUAUCCUCCUGCACAGAUAUUGAUUACACCAUAUACUUGUAUUGAGUGAAUCCAUAACACCAUGGACCAAGCUAAGUUAAGUCACUUCCUGGCGAGUGGCAAGACACACCAUUGUUAAGCACAACACUACCAAGAUGUGUUAAACUUUUGGUGACCUGUGUCCUCGUCACAUGCAUGAACAGAAUCAACUGUGUCAUCCAGUAACCCUCCAAAUGACUGGACCUUGGUUUUGGCUCAGGAGACCUUUAGUUCCAUUACUCUCUCUCUGGAGGAUGGCUCUAAAAGUGCUGAAUGAGGAGACAAAGCCACUGCCCCUGAUUGUCUCAUGGACCAAUGUCUAGUCAUUUGGAGGCUUACUGGAAGACAUGGUCUAUUCAUACAUGUGGUGAUGACAUCAAGGUCACCAAAAGUUCACAUAUCUUGGUAGCGAAGUCUAUCAACAGAUUGGCCUGGCCCAUGGUGUUAUGGACUUGCUCAAUAUGAGAGGAGUAAACCCUCAGCACAACAGACCCGUUUUUAAUGGAUUUUUAAUAUAACGGACAAGGUCAGAAAUCCACAGGGACUGACUGGGAAUAGUAUUUGAACCAAUCGCACCUGAUAACUGCAAAAGCAUCUGCUAGCCAUCUCGCCUUCCUCCCUUUAUCUGAUCUCCCAUCCUACGUUACUGUAAUACCAGUAUCAGACAUGUACUACACCAAGUCCCCGAUUUAGAAGCGAUGUCCAUUCCUCCAAAUUUGCUUGUAACAAAGCGGAAAUUUGUUAACCUUAGCGAAUUUUCCCAUUUAAUUCCAUUAUGGACAUUUGAGAGAUGCGUUCCUGUCCAGAAGACCACCUAUCAACCUGGACUCUAGAUAGUAGAUUCUAGGAUCAAAGAUGAGCUCCGGGGGGCAGCAUGAGCCAAUGCAAGAUGGCGCCACUGUAAACACUUACCUGCGCCACAAUGGGCUGGGGCCGAUCAUCAGGCCCUACUACAGAAGCCUACCAGUGCCACACUUUGUAGUAGUAGAAAAGUAGGUAAAAAAUCUUGAUUUUGUAUCCCUACCCUUCUAACUAUCCAGCUUGCCGCGUGUUGCUGGAUAUUGUCCAUUUUCGUGCAGUUCCGGCUGUCAUGUUGUUAAUGUCAUUUCAGAUUUAUCUAUAAUAAAUAGUUCAAAAGGCACAUAUUUAUCAAGAAAGACAUUAUUGCAUUAAUUUCUAUCAGUACAAUCUGUUACCUUACAACUCAAAAAGAGUUUUGGUAGGAAUACUAAGUCAAUUUUAUGCACAUUAGAACAAGUUAAGAAUUGGCAAAUGAGCGGCGCAGAGACAAUCACCCAAGCAAUGAUGCCAAGUCCACCCCUGAAGGAUUGUCUCCAUCAACUCUCAUGGAACCGACUAUAGUAAGUAAACACCCACUACUGUGGUCUCUCUCUCACUCUACAGGUCAUUUUGUCUUAAGAGAGCUCCACUAUGUCUACUCUCAGCCUUCUGAAUUUAGCUGACAGAUAACGGGGUAUUCAAUCUUCUGAGAGGCUCAGGAUGUUCAAAGCACUCGCAUGGAAAGCUUGCCAGAGGUUAACCCUAGGCUUGGCUCAGCGAGCUUGUCUGGCAAUCCCCAGAAGGUGGGUGUGUAUGGUGGGGCAGGGGUUUUCUCCUGCCCCAACCAGGUUUAAAUCAUGAAGAUGUCCUUUUCUGUUACUUCUUCGUUCCCUAUGCCAUGCAUUGUAAUUUUGUUGCAAUAAAUGAGCUAAAUAUUGAAGUCAACUUUUUCUCUUUCCUGCUAAUCUAUCCCAGUGUUAUUUAACAUGUGUGAAUAGCUGGCUUGGUGCACAAGAGAUCUGGAGAGCAAUACUCGUAGGAUGGAAAUAUUAUAGUUAAGGAAAUGGGAAGUGUUCAGUUUGUGCUGCUGCAAUAGAAAUGUGGAACAAGCAGACAUAAGCUGAGCGUGGGGAAUCAUAUGGCUAGCAUAGUAAACUGGUAAAAUAAGUAAUUUUCUUUUCCUUCUAGAACAGAUAAAAACAAUCUUAUUGAUGAAAACCGGCAUUGCCAUACACUACCUUUAUAUACCAAUAAUCAUGAAGGAGAUACAUACUUGCAUGUAUCUUGCUUCUCAGCUACAGUCCAGUCGUCAUUCAGCUGAAUAUCAAGUAGGGCAUGUUUUGUAUUCAUGUCUUGCUUUCAGCUUUGUACCACAUCCCUGUAAUCCUGUAACAUGAGGGACAAAAUUAAAGUGAAUCUGGACAUUAUGUAAGUUAUGUAAGGAGGUUAAUGCAAUGAGGGGACGAGACAUCACAUCAAGACUUUAUGGUGUAAGUGUGGUGAUAAAUUAGGAGGAAUACACACUUUGCCCUGCUUUUGCCAGUCCAUUUCCAUGCUUCAAACAACAGUAUACCAUGUUAAUCAUACCACACAAUUUGCCUAAGGUAAGAAGGCAUGUUACAUAACUUCGUCAGCAUCUAACUGCAAUGGUGGUAGGAAGGAUUCCCGCCACACACUGCCUCACCUUCUACAUGCAUCCAACAUCACCCACCUGCCACAUCACCAGCUGCCUCAUUAGCUCCCUUGCCUCAACCCACAACCUCAGCUACCAACACAAUUAUGGAUAUAGAAGGUGCCACCUGCUGACAAAGAUGCUUGGGACAAAUGUACACAUCAAUAAAGGAUUGGAACGCUUGAGAAAAAUGAAGAAUAACACCAACCAAGACCAAGAAGAGGGAGAAUGACAGUACCAGGGCCCGUACUUAUAAAGAAAUUUAUGCGAGACGUAAACUGAGACAUAUCCGAGUAUUAACAAUGACGAGACAUAACCCCCCUCCUUACGUUUCACCCCCUCAACAUAACCAGCUCGACAUAAGCGAGUAUUAGUACAUCGUUGCCAAACCCUGAGCUGCACAUAUGAAAGGGAUGCCAACUCAAAAUAAAAUGUUGGAAUUUGGUAUAAUUUUGAUGUUAAAAGCAUAUUGACGUAUUGGAAAUAUGUAUAAAAUAUAAAAAAGUAUUUUUGGGUAUUGUUGGCGAUGCAUAGAUCAACAUCACAUGGAAUAAUGAAAAAAUUAAAGAUGUAGCCCCUCAAACACGUAAACAAACAUUCCCGCGAGCUUCAAGCUAGCAGCCAGCCAUGGACGCCAACAGCCAGCCACGACCUCAAGAGCCCCUCAGCAGCCAGCGCUUUCACGCAAGAUACGUGCGUCAUGGACAGACCCGGGCCAGUUUGCUGUUUGGUGUAAAAUUCUCCCGUGUGUGUCACAUAUGAUUUGCACAUUUAAAGAGUGGUGCCCUUUCCUGUUUACAUACUUUGCCUCAAAUUCCCUGGGUGCAACAAUCCUCACAUGUGCUCCGUCUACUGCCCCUACCACACCAGGGAAUCCCGCAAUUUCCUCAAACUCACGCCGCUUCACCUGAGUUUCUUGCACAGUGAGGGGGAACUUGAUGAAGCGUCUCACUAUAUGAGGCUGUGCAAGGGCGUACACAGUCUCCCGGGUGACCCUGCUGACGGUCUGUUGUGAAGGCCCCAAGUCGUCGCUGCUACACUGCUGCAUUUUGCCCGUAGCAAGAUACCUCAGUGUUAUGAGGACCUUCAUCUCAGGGGAGAGGGCUUGGUUCCUGUUUGUAGAUGUAGUCAAGGCCUCACACACCAAAUCGGUCACAAAGAGUAUCCCUGCACGGUCCAGGCGGUACCUCUUGAUCAAUUCCAGGUCCGAAAGUUCAUCAAGGAUGUCUCUUCGUGCCUGAAAAGUCCUCAGCUGCCGCAGACACGCACCCACUACCUCCGCCAUCUUGACUGUUAUGCUUCACUUAGGUCGACCUAAGGAAUGCAAUGUUACCCCCACCCCAUGCGUAGCUGGCGAGUCAGUUUAGGUUCCGAUUAGUUGAAACCCAAGGGUUAUGCUUCCCUUACGUCUCGGUGUCUGCCAUUUUCUUGAUUUAUGCCUCACAUAAGCGAAACAUAUUCUUUAAAAGUACAGGCCCAGUACCACCGAAGAUUAUGCAUCAGCUAAGUUCUGAUUAAACCUGGCUACACUGAGGGGCAUGGUGCAUCCUGACACCCUCACCCACAAGCAAUUAAUACCUUUUCUAAAGGCCCGUCCAGAUCGGGGUUUCAAAUUGCGCAACACAUUGCUGCAACUCAAUUUUUGUGUUGCGUGUUGCCUGAGAGAAUUGCCGCAUGGGGCAUUUUCGUAACACGGUGACGAUGCAGGUGACAGUAGGUGAUAAGCUGUCACCAAGGAAGGAUUGGCGCCGCUUACUUUACUGUUCCAUUCACACAAUGGCUGAUGAUAAUUUGUCAUCAUGGAGCAGGCCACAUACCUUGCUAUUUAUAGAUUUGCUGAAGCAGCAUCCAUGCCUAUGAAAGGUGAAAAGCAAAGACUACAAAAACAAAAAUUUAGGAAGUGCAUAUCUGAAUACUGUGUGCAGUGAAAUGAUAAAUAAAAUAAAUUAU
This is a long non-coding RNA of Eriocheir sinensis (Chinese mitten crab), 11274 nucleotides long. RefSeq lists it as uncharacterized. The record is from RefSeq and is a predicted model, not a curated record. The transcript has 5 exons. Lineage: Eukaryota; Metazoa; Arthropoda; Malacostraca; Decapoda; Varunidae.